GGGGUUAUAGCUCAGUUGGGAGAGCAGCAGACUGAAGUUGGAAGGAAAGCGCGCUUACCUCUAGCGUUCUGAAGGUCCUGUGUUCAAUCCACAGUAACCCCA
This is a non-coding RNA of Panaeolus papilionaceus, 102 nucleotides long. NCBI's taxonomy places the organism in Eukaryota, Fungi, Basidiomycota, Agaricomycetes, Agaricales. The record is from the annotation of a GenBank genome assembly.